CCGCAAAUUUCCUCAAAGGAAAAAGAAUUUCCUCAAAGGAAAUAGAAUUUCCUCAAAGGAAAUAGAAUUUCCUCAAAGGAAAUAUUUAUGCAGCAAAUUCCCUAAGGGAAAUCUUUUUCCCUUGAGGAAAAAACAAUUUCCCUUGAGGAAAAAUCUUUUUCCUUUAGGGAAAUUUGAUUUCCCUUGAGGAAAACUACUUUUCCUCUGAGGAAAUUGUUGAAAAAAGGGGCAUAACUUUUUCAACAGUGGUGCUAGAGCCAAAAAAUUUUAGGACAAAUAUCAGGGAACCAAUACCAACC
Molecule: long non-coding RNA, 299 nt
Filed under: Mytilus galloprovincialis (Mediterranean mussel)
Lineage: Eukaryota; Metazoa; Mollusca; Bivalvia; Mytilida; Mytilidae
Source: RNAcentral